AUGGACUCCAGGGUGUCCAAGAGCCCACCUUCGUCUCCGCCCCCGGCGGCGGCGCAAGAAGACGAGGGGGACGCGGCGGCGGCGGUGCGGGUGACGAGCCGGCUGUACCUGCACAGGCCCGGGCCCGGCGCGGGGCCGCUGGAGAAGGACGCCGUGCUCCGCCGCAUCCGCCACCGGAGGCGCGCCAACCGCCUCCGGGACACGCUGCGCUCCCUCCUCGUCCUGCAGCAACAGCAGCCCACCGCGCCGGAGCCGGAGGACGCGUUCACGUCUCCGUAG
Molecule: ribosomal RNA, 279 nt
Filed under: Triticum aestivum (bread wheat)
Lineage: Eukaryota; Viridiplantae; Streptophyta; Magnoliopsida; Poales; Poaceae
Description: partial small subunit ribosomal RNA
Source: RNAcentral